ACUUGAACACUGAACAUGAAAUUGAGUAAGCUUAAGAACUACUAUUACCUUGAGCUUGACAUGAUUUGGUGGAGAAGAGGUGAGGAUACUUGGUACAUAUGUCUUUUUCUGCUUCCUAAGUAGCUCCACCAAUGGACUAAUUUUACCAAAGAACCUUAACUAGAGGGAAUUUUUUGUUCCUCAAUCUACGACUCGUUUACUCUAGGAUCU
RNAcentral lists this long non-coding RNA (210 nucleotides) under Capsicum annuum. RNAcentral describes it as "long non-coding RNA (CANN_LNC001967)". The record is from RNAcentral. Lineage: Eukaryota; Viridiplantae; Streptophyta; Magnoliopsida; Solanales; Solanaceae.